GGGCUGCGGCGAGGACGCCGCCCGGUGGAUGGCUCGGCUCGGGCGCCGAGGAAGGCCGUGGCAAGCUGCGAUAAGCCCGGGGUAGGCGCAAGCAGCCGUCGAACCCGGGAUCGCCGAAUGGGACUUCCCGCCACGGGUCUUCCCGUGGCGCCUGGUCAUCCGGGCGGGAACCCCCCGAACGGAAACAUCUUAGUAGGGGGAGGAGAAGAAAUCAAUCGAGAUCCCCUGAGUAGGGGCGACCGAAAGGGGGACAGCCUAAACCAAAUCUCCACGGGAAAACCGUGGAGAGAUGUGGGGUUACGGGUUCCCGGGCUGGGGGUAAACCCCAGGGAGCCGACCCAUGGUAGCCGAAGUGGUCUGGAACGACCCACCGUAGAGGGUGAUAGUCCCGUAGGCUAAACCAUGGGGGCUCCUGCCCGGGAACCAGAGUACCACGGCUUGGUUUUGCCGUGGGAAGUUGGGGGUCACCGACCUCCAAGGCUAAAUACGUCCCGAGACCGAUAGCGUACUAAGUACCGUGAGGGAAAGCUGAAAAGAACCCCGAAAGGGGAGUGAAAAGAGCCUGAAACCGGGCGGUUACAUACGGCGCGGCCCGUAAGAGGUGAGACCCGUUGAAGGAAACCGGGGUGACCCGGGAGUACGAAACGGGUUGAUCAGGGUCGCGCCGUCCGUCUUGAAACACGGGCCGGGGAGUCCACGGUAGUGGCGAGCUUAAGGGGGUCAAAGCCCCGUAGGCGUAGGGAAACCGACAAGCCCGCAGCCGCGUAAAGCGGCGAGGGGCGGGGUCCCAAAGGGCCUGGAGUCACUGCCGUGGAACCAGAAACCGGGCGAUCUAGGCGGGGGCAGGGCGAAACCGGGGGAAACCCCGGUGGAGGCCCGAAAGGGUUCUGACGUGCAAUUCGUUCCCAUGACCCCCGUCUAGGGGCAAAAGACCAAUCUAGCCCGGUGAUAGCUGGUUCCCGCCGAAGUGGGUCUCAGCCCAGCCUCGCCUGAGGUGGGCCACGGGGUAGAGCUACGGAUCGGGGGUGCGGAAGCCGAAAGGCUUCGGCCCCCGGUCCAACUCCGAACCUGUGGCCACCGUAGAAGGCGGGAGUGGGGUUCCCCGGCGUAAGGCUGGGGGCCGAGGGGGGAACAACCCAGACCGAGGUUAAGGCCCCUAAGUGCCGGCUAAGUGCCAAUCAAAGGGCGUCCCGCGACUCAGACAGCGGGGAGGUGGGCCUAACAGCAGCCAUCCUUUAAAGAGUGCGUAACAGCUCACCCGCCGAGACGCGGGGCCCCGAAGAUUGGUCGGGGCUCAAGCCGGCCGCCGAGACCUCGGGGCACGGCUCCGUUGGAGCCGUGAUCCGGUAGGCGGGCGCCGGGUCGGGGCAGAAGCCGGGCCGUGAGGUCCGGUGGACCCGAUCCGGGUGCAGAUCCCGGCGGCAGUAACAGCGAAGAGGGGUGUGAAUCCCCUCCGCCGGAAAGGGCAAGGGUUCCUCGGCAACGGUCGUCGGCCGAGGGUUAGCCGGUCCUAACCCGGGCCGUAACACGGACCCGGGGAAUGGGAAACGGGUUAAUAUUCCCGUGCCGCGGGGAUAGGUGCGGCAACGCAAGCCCCGCCUCCGACGCCUCCGGAUAGGUGGACUGGGGGCGUCCGAAAGGACGCGACCCAGCUAACCGGUGAAGGCCCUGGAGAACCGUUAUGGUGAGAAGGGGCUGAAGCCGGGAAUGGGGCUCCGUUAGGAGCCUUCCACCGACUCCGGGGGCCCUUGAAAAGGGGGCGGGGAACGAUUCCCCGCGCCCGUACCGAGAACCGACACAGGUGCCCCUGGGUGAGAAGCCCAAGGCGUCUGGGGGAUAACCCUGGUCAGGGAACUCGGCAAAUUGGCCCCGUAACUUCGGGAGAAGGGGUGCCUGCGGUCCUGGGGGAUAACCCUGGGUCCGCAGGUCGCAGUGCCUAGGGGGGCCUGACUGUUUAAUAAAAACAUAGGUCCCCGCAAGCCCGAAAGGGUUUGUACGGGGGCUGAAUCCUGGCCACUGGCGGUCCGUGAAACCGGGGUACAACCCGGCGAAGCGCCGCUGAAGGCCGGGAGUAACUCUGACUCUCUUAAGGUAGCCAAAUGCCUUGCCGGGUAAGGCGGUAUGGUGGGGUUGGUUGAAACACGUAGUCUGUUGGAGGGA
This 2160-nucleotide ribosomal RNA is filed under the name Thermosphaera aggregans. RNAcentral's name for it is "23S ribosomal RNA". It matches the Rfam family "Archaeal large subunit ribosomal RNA", at positions 1 to 2077 of the family's 2987-position model. Lineage: Archaea; Thermoproteati; Thermoproteota; Thermoprotei; Desulfurococcales; Desulfurococcaceae. The record is from RNAcentral.